ACAGGCAGAGAAUUUGAAGGUGAAGAAGAGUUCCUGGAGAUCCUGGGAAUAACACGAGAGCAGUCAGGCAAAUAUGAGUGCAAAGCUGCAAAUGAGGUUUCUACAGCAGAUGUGAAGCAAGUCCGAGUCACUGUGAAUUACCCGCCAACUAUCACGGAAUCCAAGAGCAAUGUAUCUGCUACAGGGCGGCCAGUUUCACUUAAGUGUGCAGCCUCUGCUGUGCCUACGCCUGAUUUUGAAUGGUACAGAGAUGACACUAGGAUAAAUAGUGCCAAUGGUCUGGAGAUCAGGAGCAUAGGGAGCCAGUCCUUCCUGACAGUGACCAAUGUCACUGAAGAACAUUAUGGCAACUAUACCUGUGUCGCUACCAACAAACUGGGAAUCACAAAUGCUAGCC
Molecule: long non-coding RNA, 397 nt
Organism: Ahaetulla prasina
Lineage: Eukaryota; Metazoa; Chordata; Lepidosauria; Squamata; Colubridae
Exons: 3
Source: RefSeq, a predicted model, not a curated record